Molecule: long non-coding RNA, 3330 nt
Organism: Triticum aestivum (bread wheat)
Lineage: Eukaryota; Viridiplantae; Streptophyta; Magnoliopsida; Poales; Poaceae
Exons: 9
Source: RefSeq, a predicted model, not a curated record
GACCUAACCUGCGUCCCCCCGAGCCCCCCUUGCCGCCGCCACCCCUCCCCUCUGCCCCGUGCCGGAUCCGCCUGCCGCCGCCGCCACGCUCUCCUCUGCCCCGAUCCCCCUCACCUGCUUCCUCCCCACCUCGCCCCGUGAGCCCCGAUCCCCUCCUUCCCUGCUCUCCACUAUGCCGCCGCCUCCUCUCCUUCAUUUUUCUCUCCGGCGGCGGCGCCAAAGAAGGUGCACACGGGUGGUGGAUCCGUGCCUGAGAAGAGCGGCGGGGACUGCACUCCGGUCGCGGUGGGGGUGCAGCCGCGGGGAAGACGAACUAGGUCCGCUGCCCGUCUUCGCCUCCGGGCCGCGUCCUUGCUGCCUCCAUGGCCAAGCGCACAUUUUUUUCAUGUCCCUCCAUGGCGCUCGUUGCUGGCGGGAUCUCGAGGAACAAGUGGCCUCCAUGGCGCUCGCUGCCGCUCUGAAUGGAUAGGGUUGACGCAGCACACACGGUCUAGGAAGGCCACGGGAUGACUGUGAGAUGCAGUGAGGGCAACAGCGACAACGGAGGUAUCUAUCCUCGUCGAGCUUCCACCCCGGUGGCUGCGUGCAGAGGAGCAGAAUUCGAGGACAUCUUCCAGUUCGUGGGGGAGACUCAAACACAGAUAGGGUUUGGGUGGAGGUUGAUUCCCCUCCCACAGAGCGUACAAAGUUGCGUUGCUUUGCACAGAUCUUUCUUUGAUAGUUCCAAGCUUGAUGCGAUGAAUUUCUCCUGCAGUUUGUAGGGCUUGUACACUCCACCGUCUAAAAUAAAUCUAGCCAAAAGGUGGUUGAGAGAAAUUUUGUGGUGCCACUAUGUUCUUCCAGGUUUAAGCGCUUUGACUCUACUAAUUUUAGCCAGGUACUGCAUGUGCUUUCUGUGAUGGCAAGGAUAAAUUACUACGCAAUUUUGGCACUAUCCAGAUCAAAGAUUCAUGUCCUAAAAUAUUUUGCUCGGCUUCAUGCAAUUGAACUGUUAUCGCAUAUUUACGAGCCCCUAGGAAAGUCGGCAUUCAGGUCACCUACUAAAGCUCCUCCUCGCCACCGCGUGUGCACAUCGGCGUGGCCACCCUUCUGUCCAACUGUAGGUCCCAAGUUGGUUAUUGUUGGUUUUUGCUCAUGCACAAGCACAACCCAUCAUAGGAAUCAGUAGGACCAUCUUGAUGGAUGUAAGGACCGCAACAGGGUUUAUUCAGGGGCAUGUACAAGACUCCUAUAUGCUGUUAGCUCCUCCCAAACAUAGUAAGGCUUUGUUUUUUUGGAUGAUACCCCCUCCACCAGAGGCUCAGCACAACAAGGACAUUUUCCAACAAGAAAUUAAUUUGAAUGAGGGUUGCUGGUGAAGGAUGGAGCGGGUGAUGAAUAGAUGAGGAAGCCGAUUUGUAAUGCUCAGAACGCAGAAGGAACAUCAGCUGAAGGAGCGGCUGUAGCUGGUGAUGGAAGAGAGGCACUUGCAUUUGCCCACCAGAAGUACAGAUCGGUAAAGUACAGAGAAACUUCAGAGCAUGGUAGCAUUGUUUAUGAGAAGAAUCCACGACGGACUGAUAAUCUAAUUCUUCUUGGAAUUAUCUACUGUCAGUUUAUGACUUGGUGCUCGCUGAAGCUUCUAUUUUCUACCAAAAGUGCUAUUAAACAAAAGAACUCUACCGAUCCAGGAUUUUAUCCUAAGUUGCUAUUAAACUCACAAGAGGGAGCCUUUUAAUAACAAAGGAACUCUAACCAUGCUUUUUAUAUACUACGUAUAUGUAUGAUGUACUAGCAGUUCCUAUUUUUUAACUAUUGCAUAUCAGAAUAUUGAAUUGGCUAUGUCUGCAAAAAAAUAUGAUGUAUUAAAUUAUGUCAUGAAAGGGAUUUGUUCAUUUUCAAAACUAAGUUGGAUGAGCUUAAAGAACUUAUUCACCAGUACAGGUUAAAUAUGCUUUAAAAAAAUAGAUGUAUUUUUUUAGUGUACAUUAUCUUUUAUGUCUAAAGGAAUACUGGAUAUGCUUAUUUCUACUGCUAUAGUACAAGUUAACCCAUCCCAACUCCAUAGCAGUACUACAAACAGAACUGGAAUGAUUAUAUUUCUUUAUAGAUUUUACAAAUUCAGCAUGUUGAGCAUUUUUUGUGUGAUUUUCUUGAUAAAUCAACUAUUAGAGUAAACUUUCGUACUUAGCGACAACUUGAUUUAGCAUAAUAUGUUGGUUUCUGAACUUGGUAGAUGAAAUCACCCAGGAAAGCUACGUGUGUGCAAGCUAGCUAGACAAGCACACAAGCAAACUGUUGGAUUGAUGAACACAUAAUAUAGUCUCUGUGUAGCAAAAAGCUCUCUCUUUCUCUCAAGUACAGGCAGCCCACGAGCAGCCAGCAGAGCAAUAGCGAGCAGCCAACUAACAGCAAACAGAAGUAGCAGCAGUAAGCAGCGGAAGCGAGCAGCAACAAGCUCGUGGCCUAACCAUGUUGGCCCGGACCAAAAAUGAGAAAAAGCGACGCUGACAAAGAAAAGAAGGCACGAGAAGGCAGUGGCGGCUUCUCACCUUGCUGUUCGUGGCGAUGUCAGAUGGCACAAGGACUGAUGACAGCGAAUUCAGGACGGCAGCAAUGGCAGUCAGUGUCGAGGAAGAAGUAAGAGAGACCCGCAGCUUCGAACCUUUGGGCCAGAGUAGACGCGGAGCCACGGUUCCUGGAGUUACUCACGGUUCCUGGAGUUACUCGGGGAGGAUGACGACCGCGGUGGCGUCAUAACGACAGCUGAUGGAACAGAGGAAGGCGGCCUCGGUCCAAAAGUUCUCUGCAUGCUCGGUGUCCAGGAAUCGAAUCAGAACGAUGGCCGGAGGUGAACAAAGUUAGGGAAACUACUUAGGAUCAAGGACUCAUUGGAAAAAUGAGGCGAUUCAUUGUGGCGUCCAGCGGGCCUGCAUGUUGGACCUUGGGGCGUGGACGUCGAGCCGGACGGUGGGCUGUUGGAUUCCGCCCGUUCCUAUGGCUGGCGCUGCAGCAGCGAGCGGUGGUGUACCCGACGAGCUCGACCAGAAAGAGGAUCUAGGAGGAAGAGGAAAUGGAUUGAGGAGGAAGGUAGUGGAGUAGGAGUAUGAGUAAAACGUGAAGGGGCAGGGAGUUGCGGGCGCGUCCCAUGAGCAGGCGCUGCCAGCCUGACUGGUGGGUUCACGAGAGGGACCCACUGGUCAGUAACAAAGGGAGAGGUUGAAAAAAUAUAUAUGAAAAUGACUGGAAUAUCUCUUACUCCUCUACUCCCUCGUAAUCUACUCAAGAUUAAUUUUAUUGCUCAAAACUCAUCAGAAAUAUCUUUGAAAUUUUCACAUAUGCUACUACUUA